Equus caballus (horse) is the source of this 3698-nucleotide long non-coding RNA. RefSeq lists it as uncharacterized. Lineage: Eukaryota; Metazoa; Chordata; Mammalia; Perissodactyla; Equidae. The record is from RefSeq and is a predicted model, not a curated record.
GUUCUUCCUCCCUCUGUGUUUACAGUCUCAUCUACCAUUCUUCCCUUUGCUCCAUUCAUACUGGCUUUCUUCAUAUCCUUCAACACACUAGGGUAGUUCUUGCCUUAGGGCCAUUACAUCUGCUCCUCUGUAUGCCAGAAAGUAAGGAAGUAUUCAAAGAAUGGUGAGGACAUGUCAAAAGGACACAGAAGCCAGUUUGAAAGGCUCCCACUCCCCCAACAGGACCAGAAUGGCGACAAUUUGAGAAUUAAAUAAGAAUAGCAACAGAUCAUAACCUAUUGUAUAAAAUAAGAAUCCAUGCAUCGAAACUGACAUAAAUAAAUAAAUAGGGAGAAAUCAAAGCUUUUUGUUACAGUGGAAUGCCAAUACUGAAUGUAGAAGAGAUGAUGGAAUUAGAAAAAUCACCAUUUGGCAACCAUAAUAAUAAUAAUAAUAAAUUCAACCAAGAAAUGUCUAUGUAUGCUAAGCAACUUGGUGAAAAUUUGACGAGGAAUGGAAUAUUUACAUCAUCUAAAAAUAACUCCCUACAAAAUACUUAUUAACUAAGAAGGGGAGAAGAACAAUGUUAUAAAGGAAAAACCUAGCAAAGGCCACUUAAUUCGUGAACACAGUUAACAUCAAUAAUAGGACCAAAUUAAAGUGUUACCACCAAUGGUGUGUAAUGAGGAAAAACCCAGCAUCACUUCUGUGCUAUUCCUGCUAGUAAUGCAUAACCUGAAUCUAAUCAAGAGGAAACAUCAGACUAACCCAAAUUGAGGAAAAUUCUAUAAAAUAACUCACCUAUAGUCUUUAAAAGUAGCAAAGUCAUGAAAAUCAAAGAAAGACUAUGGAACUGUUUUGAUUAAAGACUAAAGAGAUGUGAUAAUUAAAUGUGUCACUAUAAAGGACGUUAUUGGGACAAUUGGCUAAACUGGAAUGGAGUUUGUGGAUUAGAUGAUAGUAAUGCAUCAAUGUUAAUUGCUUUACUUUGAUAAUAUGUGGAUGAUGAGGCAUCAUAUGGGCAACGUACUCUCAAAGGUUCAGGGGAAAAAAGCCUUUUUCAUACUGUUAUUGUAACUUUCUUGUAAGUUUGAAAUUUUUUAAAAGAAAAAAGUAUUAGCAAGAGGGUCCAAAAGGGUACCAUUGGAAACAUUGGAACUGACUGCCAAUAUCUUAAAUGUAAAUAUGAUUCCUGGAAUUGUGGGUAAAAAACAGUGCUUUGUGAAUGUAACAAUAGCAAUUGUUUUCCAUCUAACCACACCCUCCAAGACCUGCUCAAGACCUACCCUCUCCUAGAAGCCUUCUUUGAGUCUCUUCCAGUCCACGCUCAUCAUUCAUUCCACAUCUGAACUCAGGAUACAUAUUUUUUGUAUCACUUUUUUGACACUUAAUCAUGUAUAAUCUUGGGACUUCUCUGGUACUAUUGUCUUAUAUAAAUUUCAAGUUCUUGUUUAAAUCUUCUCAUGAAUAUGUUAUCUCCAUAAUUAUGCUGUAAUCAGCUUAGGAGCAGGUACCAUAUAUGAUCUUUUUCUUCCGAAAGUACUUAGCAUACAUUUUUAAAUUACAUUUCCACGUCCCAAGGACUGUCAAAAAAUAAUUAAUCUCACUUGGCAAAUAUUUCUUGCAUACCAACUAUGCAUUAGGCACUGUAAAUAAUAAUUCCUUAUGUGUGUAGAAUGCUUUACAAUUUAUGUAGCACGUACACAUUCAUUAUCUUGUUUGUUCUACAUAACAACUCUGUGAGGUAGGUGCUGCCACAUGAUAAACACGUUCAGAGAGGAACUGAUUUACUGGAAGUCACACAGCAAGUUAAUAGCAGAAUUGGGACGCCAGUUCUUCAGGUUCCAAGUCCAGUGCCUUUUCCACACCACCAUAGGAAACAGAUAUGGAAUCGGAGCCAUUGAGGGAUGAAGUGAUCUUCCCAAAGUCACGCAGCUAGUGAGGGGCUGAGCAAGAAUUCAAAUCCACACAGUCUGUUUUCAGAGUCUUUGGUCUUCACCACUACGCUCCUUUGGUGAGAAUGGUUAUUGAUUAUUUUUCAUCGACACAGCUCAGCCUCCUGGAAUUAAAGCGUGAAGAGUGAAUCUGGAGGGACAAACUGAAGAUAUCCAGCCAAGAUACAUUGCUUAGUUUUGCCUAAGUUUACAAAAGUGGAAUCAUACAGUUUGUAUUCUUCUGUGACUUGCCUUUUUUGUUUACUCAUUAGAGUAACUCGUGUGUAGAUGUAGUUCAUUUAUGUUCAGUUCUGUAUAAUAUCCCAUUGCAUGCAUCUACCGCAUUAUAUUUAUCCAUUCUACAGUUGAUAGACAUUUGGACUGUUUCCAGAUUUUUGUUUUUAUAGACAAUGCUGCUGUGGACAUUCUUAUCUAUAUCUUGGUGCACAAAUGCAAGAAUGCAUGUAAGUGUGCAAUUUCUGGGUAGUAGGAUAGUGUGAGUUAAACUUUAAUAGAUAACACCAAACUAUUUUCCAAAGUCACCGUAAUUCACACUCCAAUUAGCACUAAAUGAGGGUUUCUGUUGCUCCACAAUCUCACCAACACUUGGUAUUAUCAAACUUUCUAAUUUUGUCAGUCUGGUAGGUGGGAAACAGUAUCUUUUGGUUUUAAUUUUCAUUUCUUUGUUUCUAACAAAGUUGAACAUAUUUUCACAUGCUUAUGGGCCAUACAUACGAUGAUUUUUUUUCUUUUGCUCAUUGAAAAACGAGUAGAAAUAGAAAUAUUUCUACUGAGUUUUUCUGCCUUUCUUUUGUCAGUUACAUAUGUUGUAAACAUCUUCUUUCCUUUAGUGCCUUGCUUUUUUCACUCAUAAUAUGGAUCUUUUGGUGCACAGUUGUUGUUAAUUUUAAUAUAAUUGAAUUUAUACUAUUUUUCAUGGUUUGCACUUUUGGUUCCCCUUUAAGAAAUCUUUCUCUACCCUGAGGUCAUAAAGAUAUUUCUUAUUUUGUCUUCUAAAAGUUCCUUUGGUUUACAUUAUACUAUAAGCUUUGGGUCUUUCAUAUUUAAGUCUUAAAUCUACCUGGAACUGAUGUUUGUGCAUCGUUUAAGAUAGGGAUCAGUUUUAAUUUUUUCCAUAUAGAUAACCAAUUAUUGAAGAGUCCAUCUUUUCCCAACUGAUCUGUAAAUGCUUUCUGUGGCAAAAAUUUUGUUUCCAUAUAUACGUUAGUUUUUUCUUGUAUUUCCUGUGUACUCUGCUAGCCUGCCACAGCGCCCAAGAGUCUACCAUUAGGGACUGCAGCUCAUGAAGACUCUUAUUUGAUAUUAGUUCCCCCUGGGGAAAUGACAUAUUAAGUCAUUAUUUUUCAGAUCAUCUCAACGGGAAAAUAGUUUAUUAGCACUUAUUAUCUAGUAGUAUCUAAGAGUGUGGUCACGUUGACGUUGGGGGAAGGCAGAACAGGCUCUAAGGCAGCGUGAAGACGCUGGUCACCUGUAAGAGCGGUGCUCUUUGUAAAGGGGAGCAGAUGAAGGAAGCUAGAGAGGGGUGACCUGAUCCUAGCAGCCGAGGAUACCCAUGCAGAUCUAAUGUGCUGAAGAUGAGCAGGUUUGUGGAGCAGAAGUAGUUCUAGAAUCAUAUUCUCAAUAUAAUGUAAAGAAAUCUGCUUAUGUGAUGAGUAAAAAAAUAUAUAUACAUACCUAUAUUUUUAGCUGUUCUUUUAAAGAGUCGGUUUAUUGAGUCAUGCAUAGACAAUGCAAGUAUUUAAUUUAGACAAUCACCAGCUGGUU